UUGUAGCUCAGCUGGUUAGAGCGCACCCCUGAUAAGGGUGAGGUCUCUGGUUCAAAUCCAG
Molecule: transfer RNA, 61 nt
Filed under: Pseudopedinella elastica
Lineage: Eukaryota; Dictyochophyceae; Pedinellales
Also listed under: 2 other names
Rfam family: tRNA
About the family: Transfer RNA (tRNA) molecules are approximately 80 nucleotides in length. Their secondary structure includes four short double-helical elements and three loops (D, anti-codon, and T loops).
Source: RNAcentral